Callithrix jacchus (white-tufted-ear marmoset) is the source of this 2241-nucleotide long non-coding RNA. RefSeq lists it as uncharacterized. The record is from RefSeq and is a predicted model, not a curated record. NCBI's taxonomy places the organism in Eukaryota, Metazoa, Chordata, Mammalia, Primates, Cebidae.
UGUGUUCUAACCCCACAACUCAUUUGUAUCAACUCUGGAUGGCAAACCUAUCUAGCACCUGACACCAUGCUGGGUGAUCAAAGACGAUUAUGACAAGCACUUGAUUUAUAGGCACCAAACACAUAAAAAAUAAUUACAACAUGAUAAUGUAUGCUGUAACAGAGACCUUUAAAAAUUACCAUGGAAACAGGAAGAGCAAGAGUUUGCCAGGGGAGUUCAGCGAGGCUUCCACUGGAUCUGGGUGCUGAAAGACUAGCAGGCAUUCCUGGGGUGGGGGAAGAAUGGAUGGGCAUUCCACGUAAAGAACAAGAUGUGCUGAGGUGCAUAAAAGUGAGUGAACUCGGGGAAUUCAGCGUGGCAGUAGGAGAGAUGGGGAAGAGACAGCACUGCGAAGAUGUGACAGGCUAGCUACCUGAACUCCUUUCUACAUCAAUGCCCAUUAGCUGAGAGUGGCCAGGAAAGCAGGCCUUUACACUUAGCUCCAGAGUGAUCAUCUGAUGGAGCCGCAGUGGGUACUGAGUUCUUAAGUCUUUCAAAUGCAAAUGAUGCUGGGGUACAAACAAGACUGUAAGAACAGUAGCUGAAUUCACCUAUUUGCUGAAUUUUCAAGCCAGGACCCCAUGCUGAAGAGGGCACACAGAAGGAGAGGUCAACCAGGCAUGGUGGCUCAUGCCUAUAAUCCCAGCACUUUGGGAAGUCAAAGCAGGAGGAUCGCAUGAGCCCUAGGAGUUUGAGACCAGCCUGGGCAACAAAGGGAGACACCUUCUCAAGAAAUAAAAAAAGAAGGGGAGGAGCAGUAAACAAGUUCUGAUGUUGAAUUGCCAUACACUCUCAAGCCUAGAUGGGCAAUUUGGCCCCCUGGUGGGACAUGAACAUUGGACCAGCAUCUGUCAACAUCCUCACAUCUUUCAGCACCAGCACUGAACUCCACACUGCGUCUUUAAAGCAGAGAACAAGUCAAGGGGCUAUAGAGCCGGACUGUCUUCAUCUUCCGCCCCGACUGACCCUUCACCUCUGAACUACUCUGCUGUAACAGCAAGUAUUUACAGGAAAACACUACAACAUGAAACACAAGGCUUGUCAGAUUUGCAUUCACAUUUUCCUUUUCUCACUCUAUUCAAGCUCUGCAAAUGUCCAAUAGGUUGAUUCCUUCCAUAAGUGAUUUUCCCAAAAGAUAUUAUCUUUCUAAUUGGGAAAUCAAGAAGCCUGUAGAAAUCUACAACAUGGCUAAAAGUUAGAAUCACAUGCACUCAAUCCAGACACUGAGAAACACUUCCACUGACCUGCAUGAAAAAUGCCCACUCUAGCUCUGUGACCUUAAACCAGUAACUUCACCUCUCUGGACUUCAGUUUCAUUGGUGAUUUGUCUCUUUUAACUACAACAUUUCAAAAUGGGUUUUGAUAACCACUGUGGAAAGUCCCCCCCAGAGUUCUUUUCUAAUUUUUAUUGGCUUUAUGUAUAAGUCCAGCUGAAUUAUAACUUAGAGAAUAACUUGCCAAAUUCUGUUUAAAGUAUUCGGGAGUUUUUAUCAGAAGUUCAUUUAAUGUUUAAAUAAAUCUGAAGAAAAGAGACAACUUUACAAUAUCCAUCCACAGGAAUACAGUCGGUAUUUCCAUUUACUCAGGUCUUUUCUUUCUUUCUUUUUUUUUUUUUUGAAACAGGUUCUUGCUCUUAACGUCCAGACUGAAGUAUAGUGGUGUGAUCACAGCCCACUGCAGCCUCGACCUCCCAGGCUCAAGUGAUCCUCCCACCUCAGCCUCCAGAAAAACUGGAACUUCAGCCGCACGUCACCAUGCCCAGUUAAUUCUCUGGGUAUUUUUUGUUGAGCCAGGGUCUCAUCAUGUUGCCCAGGCUGGUCUCGAACUCCUGGCCUCGAGCAAUCCACAGAUGUUGGCCUCCAAAAGUGCUGGGAUCACAGUCGUCAGCCACUGCGCCAGAUGGAGUCUCACUCUGUUGCCCAGACUGGAGUGCAGGGCACAAUCUUGGCUCACUGCUACCUCCACCUCCCAGUUUCAAGCGAUUCUCCUGCCUCAGCCUCCUGAGCAGCUGGAACUGCAGGCACACGCCACCAUACCUGGCUAAUUUUUGUAUUUUUAGUAGAGAUGGGGUUUCACCAUGUUGACCUGCCUGGUCUCAAACUCCUGACCUCAGAUGAUCCACGUGCCACAGUCUCCCAAAGUGCUGGGAUUACAAGCAUGAGCCACCGCACCCAGCCAUAUUUUUUUCAAUAAAAUUAAAAC